UCCAGCUGCGCUGCGACUGGCGUGCCACGGGCUGCUGCCGCCUCACGUUGCGCCAGGGGAGGCUCAGGUUGCAUUUAGGAACAAUUUCUUGGAAAGAGCGGUGAGGCACUGACGCAGGCUGCCGGGGAGUCACCGUCACUGGGCGCGUGUGGAUGCGGCAGUGAGAGCUCCAUGCUGUUCCUUUGGUCCCAUCGCUGUCACCAGAGGGAAGAGCUCAGCACAGCCCUUCUACUUCCCAUGAGGAAGCUAUAGGCCCACAAUGAGGUCUCUCCUCAGUACCCUCUUCUCUUAACUGAACAAACCAAGCAACAUCAGCAGCUCUUCAUACCACUUGCCCUCCACACCCUUCAUCACUGAAUGUUGCUGGUUUACUAGUGUAAAUCUGUUACAGAAGAAAUCUGGAAGAAUCCCAUCCAACGAAUCCCUUUUCGAAUGAAGACUUGAUAGAAGCCGUCAGGAUCACCACUACCACCACAGAAGGUUCCGAGAAGAAGAUGCAGACAUGCCAUUUACUACUGACUCCACCAAUCUUCUCAUUCAGCAGAACGGUCUGAUGAGAAAAGAAGUGCACAAGCUCCACCUAAAAGACCCAGCAUGUGGCCGCAGCCUCACCCAGCUGCAUUGUUGACCACAGACAUUUUCUUCUUGGACCCCCUUUGAAGGCAGUGGCAUCAACCCUUGAGUUGCAUCAUGGUGCUACUUGGCAGUGCCCAUAUCUGCGGCCACAUCUCAUGCCAUUCUAUUUAGAAAUGCCAGGAUCUAUGCAUCUAAUGCAUCUGUGGCCUCCAGAUUGUCAGUUCACCCCAUCAAAAAUAUACGGGUGGAAAUCAAAGUGAAGACCUUUAGGCACAGCCAAAAGUUCUAGCCUUGUCUCUUGAAGAGGCAAAGAAAUACACUUUUUUCAGUGGUGUUGAAGAAAUGUUACCAGACCUGGGGAAGAAAGGGAAUUUGGUUUUUAGAACAUCUUUGUCACUUUCAGUAUAUGGGGAAUUUUUGAAUCUUACUCCCCAUCUUAUGUUAUUAUCUCUUAUUCUCCACCUUAUUUAUUUAAAAAAUAUAUAUAUUCAACAGUUAACUGGAAAGAAACACACACACAAAAAAAAAAACAAAAAAAACCAAAACCUAACACAGUUGAAGAGACACUAGAUACUGACAUGGAAGCUCUGGCUUUGGUCUGUCAAUCAGUUCUACUCCUGAGCUGCUUUGUGCUGGCCAGAGGAGUUCUCUGAGCCUGCCAUUAUAUGCUGUGUGUCCCAGCCUUCAAUGAUUCCCUUGUGGAAGAAGGAAGAGGGUCAAGGAGGCAGAGGACCCUUUUCCUGGGGGUGGCUCCUCCGUGCCUUUUUGCUUGCCGGAAAGAAAGGCUGCCCAUUGGGCACAGGGGCUGCCUUCUAGCUGCCAUCCUGUGCCCUCUAGGGGGCCUCC
Molecule: long non-coding RNA, 1422 nt
Organism: Tympanuchus pallidicinctus (lesser prairie-chicken)
Lineage: Eukaryota; Metazoa; Chordata; Aves; Galliformes; Phasianidae
Exons: 3
Source: RefSeq, a predicted model, not a curated record